RNAcentral lists this ribosomal RNA (216 nucleotides) under uncultured bacterium. RNAcentral describes it as "partial 16S ribosomal RNA". It matches the Rfam family "Bacterial small subunit ribosomal RNA", at positions 1285 to 1500 of the family's 1533-position model. The record is from RNAcentral.
GUCUCAGUUCGGAUUGUAGUCUGCAACUCGACUACAUGAAGCUGGAAUCGCUAGUAAUCGCGAAUCAGAAUGUCGCGGUGAAUACGUUCCCGGGUCUUGUACACACCGCCCGUCACACCAUGGGAGUCAGCAACGCCCGAAGCCGGUGACCCAACCGAAAGGAGGGAGCCGUCGAAGGUGGGGCCGAUAACUGGGGUGAAGUCGUAACAAGGUAUC